Molecule: long non-coding RNA, 2392 nt
Organism: Manihot esculenta (cassava)
Lineage: Eukaryota; Viridiplantae; Streptophyta; Magnoliopsida; Malpighiales; Euphorbiaceae
Exons: 2
Source: RefSeq, a predicted model, not a curated record
UUGACAGCAGGAAAGGGUUAAUUUCCUCAUUUAUUAUGGAAUGCUCGAGGAAUCAUUCAUAUCCAUAGGUUGAUGGGGCGAACUAAUUAAAUAUGUUCAGACCAUCCGAGUAUUUUCAGCUUUAAGCACAUGGACCUUGAAGGUUUAAUCGGACUGAGAUAAGAUGACUGCAUUCAAAGGUGACCAUGAUUAAUGAUACCAAGACUCUAGCUUGAAGAAUGACUUGCCAGUAGGGGCGAGCAAUAUUCGAUUCAAGCUGAAAUAACGGAUCGAACAAUUAAAUUUGGUUCGAUUCUAUUUCCUUUUCAGUUCCUUUUCUUUUAUGAAAUUUUGGUGAAAUUGAUUCAGCUCUGUUUUGGAAGAAAAAUAGCCAACACCAAACCAUACCAAAUCGAGCCGAACAAUUAAGAUGUUUUUUUUCUAAAUUUAGAGUUUGUUACUUUUUUUUUUGUUUAUAUAUUUUAAUUUAAUAAUUAUUCUUAUUAGGAAAAAGACAAAAGUGGGAAUACCUUGAUUGAAUUUUAGAAUAUACUAAAAACAAAACCUAAAAGAAAAACCUUUUAAAAGAAAACUCAUUAAAAAAGCCAACUGAUUGAAUUGAACAGGACAGUUUGAUUCAGUUUGGUUCUCUCCUGAUUGAGUUCGGUUCGAUUUCAGCAAAUUGCUUGUAUUCGGUUUUAACUUAUUCGGUUCGGUUUUGAACUAGUUCGACUAAAUGCUAACCAUGACUCCUCUUAAUUGCUUUGAAAUUUACUUUUUUUUUUAAUUUGUUUUACUUAGAAUGAAAUAAUUUUUGUUAAAAAAAAGGCAUUUUCACCUUUCCUCCCUCUACAAUGAAUGAAAAACUACUCACUACUUGUGAAGUUAAGCUUCUGGCACUAAAAUACUCUAGGACUCUGCCGCGCCUGCAUAUCUUCAUGUGAGCUUGUUCAAGGCCAAUUCAGUUGUUCCCAGUCCCAUAGUGGUUGUACUAAAUCUUCAACCAUCUCCCAGUUAGCACUUCCUUCUGCUCCUGAGGGAUAAGCAUGAUCUCCUCCGGAGUAUGAAGUCUCCGAUGAGCUUGUGUUGUCCACAAUUCUAGUGUCUUGAGCAGAUGUAGCUGUAUUACGGACAAGCCGAUUGUCUAUUGCUGCAGCUUCUAACGGACGCCUGUCAAAUGCUCGAAAACUUCCUGAUAUUACGUAGACUCGGCACAAACUGAAUUCAUGUCUCAACUACACAUAAGAUAUGGACAAAGAAAUGAUUAUUAGAAUUGGAAAUCAAUAGAAAACUGCAUAAUUAGGUCCUUGUUUGUUGAAAAUUUCUCAAGUAUUAUAUAUCUUUGUACACACCAUGGGAACAGCGGUGUUGUACGAGUCGGCUACUUCUUCUAUGGCUCUGUACUCAUUCAUCUUCCAUUUGGUUUUUCUUCCAGCAGGAGCUUUCCCCUUGUAGAAAACCAUGGUUUUCUUCACUCCGAUCACUCGGUUAUCUGAUGAGUAAACAUAACCAGGGGAGCCUGUAGCCUUCCAGUACCCAGUUUCCGUAGUGCGGUUGGGUCUCCCCCCUCUUGCCUCUCUUUCUUGUCUUGGUGUGAAGAAGAACCACUGCUCAGUAUCUCCUCGACACCUUUCUCCUGCAAGCUCUGCAACACAAUGCAAGAAACAAACUUUAAAUAAUACCAUUCUUUGACAUGCAGCAUUUUCAACACACUAUUAACUUCAUAAACAGAAAAAUGAACACCUUUGAUUGAGAAGGAUUCUUACUUGGAAGAUUCCAUGGCUCUUGGUUAUAAAUGUUGAUUACUGGGAUAACACGGUCUAGUUCCUGUCUCUUCCCUUCCAGCUUGUUAUGCAGAUAAAAGGAAACUAGCUCUUCUUCUGUUGGAUAGAAGCGAAGGCCAGGUGGAAGUACCUCCAUUCUUGAUUUUAUUGCUGUUGCUAUUGAGUUCUUGAAUUGUUUAAAUUGCUGCUAUUGAAUUCUGUAAUUGUUCAAGUAUGUCUGCCAUGAACUGUAUAUAUAGAGAGAGAGGCAUGUGAAGGCAAAGGAAGGUAGAUGAGCUUGCCGAGUGCAACGAGAAAAAAUUGCAAGGAGCUUGUGAUUGAUGGAAACCUCCACGCGGUUGCACAAAGAAGAGAAUGGUUUUUGUCCUCUUAUGUUUCUCCAUUGGUCCAAGUAAGAUUCCUCAUCCAAUAUAAAGCUGAUUUUGAACGAGUCAGCCGCCCUUUGCUUCUGUGUAGUGCUUGUCCAAGACUUAGUAGUUGCACCCUCCUAGAUUACAUUACGUCGACCAUUGAUUGGUUUAUGUGUCCUGAGUCACGUCCUUAACUUUUAGAUGUUUAUUAAUUUCAGUUUUCCAUGGAUCUAGGAGACAUUAAAAUAAUUCUUAUAUAUUUUUUAUUUUUUUAUGAAA